This 46-nucleotide non-coding RNA is filed under the name Schistosoma margrebowiei. The record is from RNAcentral. Lineage: Eukaryota; Metazoa; Platyhelminthes; Trematoda; Strigeidida; Schistosomatidae.
GUACUGCUGAAGAGUCCUACAAUAGGACAAAACGGCCGUCCAAUGC